This is a non-coding RNA of Brachypodium distachyon (stiff brome), 136 nucleotides long. NCBI's taxonomy places the organism in Eukaryota, Viridiplantae, Streptophyta, Magnoliopsida, Poales, Poaceae. The record is from Rfam.
UUAAUACUUCCUCCGUCCAACAAAGGAUGUCUCAACUUUGAUUAAAUUUCAAUGCAUCUAUACAGUAAGUCAUGUCUAAAUACAUUCAAAUUUCGACAAACUUGAGACAUCUUUUGUUGGACGGAGGGAGUACAAG